Molecule: ribosomal RNA, 1302 nt
Filed under: metagenome
Description: bacterial LSU rRNA
Rfam family: Bacterial large subunit ribosomal RNA
Source: RNAcentral
UACACGACCGUACCGCAAACCGACACUGGUGCGCGAGAUGAGUAUUCUAAGGCGCUUGAGAGAACUCAGGAGAAGGAACUCGGCAAAUUGACACCGUAACUUCGGAAGAAGGUGUGCCUUUAGUAGGUGAAGGGAUUUACUCCUGGAGCCCAAUGAGGUUGCAAAAAAUCGGUGGCUGCGACUGUUUAUUAAAAACACAGCACUCUGCAAACACGAAAGUGGACGUAUAGGGUGUGACGCCUGCCCGGUGCUGGAAGAUUAAAUGAUGGGGUGCAAGCUCUUGAUUGAAGUCCCAGUAAACGGCGGCCGUAACUAUAACGGUCCUAAGGUAGCGAAAUUCCUUGUCGGGUAAGUUCCGACCUGCACGAAUGGCGUAACGAUGGCCACACUGUCUCCUCCUGAGACUCAGCGAAGUUGAAAUGUUUGUGAUGAUGCAAUCUCCCCGCGGAAAGACGGAAAGACCCCAUGAACCUUUACUGUAGCUUUGUAUUGGACUUUGAACAGAUCUGUGUAGGAUAGGUGGGAGGCUUUGAAGCAGGGUCGCUAGAUCUUGUGGAGCCAACGUUGAAAUACCACCCUGGUGUGUUUGAGGUUCUAACCUAGGCCCGUAAUCCGGGUUGGGGACAGUGCAUGGUAGGCAGUUUGACUGGGGCGGUCUCCUCCCAAAGUGUAACGGAGGAGUUCGAAGGUACGCUAGUUACGGUCGGACAUCGUGACGAUAGUGCAAUGGCAUAAGCGUGCUUAACUGCGAGACUGACAAGUCGAGCAGAUGCGAAAGCAGGACAUAGUGAUCCGGUGGUUCUGUAUGGAAGGGCCAUCGCUCAACGGAUAAAAGGUACUCUGGGGAUAACAGGCUGAUACCGCCCAAGAGUUCAUAUCGACGGCGGUGUUUGGCACCUCGAUGUCGGCUCAUCUCAUCCUGGGGCUGUAGCCGGUCCCAAGGGUAUGGCUGUUCGCCAUUUAAAGAGGUACGUGAGCUGGGUUUAAAACGUCGUGAGACAGUUUGGUCCCUAUCUUCCGUGGGCGCUGCAGAUUUGAGGAAGCCUGCUCCUAGUACGAGAGGACCGGAGUGGACGCACCUCUGGUGUAUCGGUUGUCACGCCAGUGGCAUUGCCGAGUAGCUAUGUGCGGAAGAGAUAACCGCUGAAAGCAUCUAAGCGGGAAACUCGUUUCAAGAUGAGAUCUGCCGGGGCCUUGAGCCCCCUGAAGAGUCGUUCAAGACCAGGACGUUGAUAGGUCGGGUGUGGAAGCGCAGUAAUGCGUUAAGCUAACCGAUACUAAUUGCUCGUGCGGCUUGACCCU